GCCGAUGUAGCUCAGUGGUAGAGCGGCUGUUUUGUAAACAGCGGGUCGCGGGUUCGAGUCCUGUCGUCGGCU
RNAcentral lists this transfer RNA (72 nucleotides) under Armatimonas rosea. It matches the Rfam family "tRNA". From Rfam's summary of the family: Transfer RNA (tRNA) molecules are approximately 80 nucleotides in length. Their secondary structure includes four short double-helical elements and three loops (D, anti-codon, and T loops). Further hydrogen bonds mediate the characteristic L-shaped molecular structure. tRNAs have two regions of fundamental functional importance: the anti-codon, which is responsible for specific mRNA codon recognition, and the 3' end, to which the tRNAs corresponding amino acid is attached (by aminoacyl-tRNA synthetases). tRNAs cope with the degeneracy of the genetic code in two manners: having more than one tRNA (with a specific anti-codon) for a particular amino acid; and 'wobble' base-pairing, i.e. permitting non-standard base-pairing at the 3rd anti-codon position. RNAcentral also lists the same sequence under 1 other name. Lineage: Bacteria; Bacillati; Armatimonadota; Armatimonadia; Armatimonadales; Armatimonadaceae. The record is from Rfam by way of RNAcentral.